GGAAUAUAAGAAACCAUCUCUUAAAUUUUAACUAAAAAAGUUAAGAACAUGCUCUUAAAUAAGAUAUUAAAGAACCGGUUCUUAGUUUUUUUAGUUAUAAAUUAAGAGAUAGUUUCUUAUAUUCC
This is a microRNA precursor of Brassica oleracea var. oleracea, 125 nucleotides long. It matches the Rfam family "MIR9563 microRNA precursor family". The record is from Rfam. NCBI's taxonomy places the organism in Eukaryota, Viridiplantae, Streptophyta, Magnoliopsida, Brassicales, Brassicaceae.